Molecule: ribosomal RNA, 464 nt
Filed under: Jordania zonope
Lineage: Eukaryota; Metazoa; Chordata; Actinopteri; Perciformes; Jordaniidae
Description: partial 16S ribosomal RNA
Rfam family: Bacterial large subunit ribosomal RNA
Source: RNAcentral
CGGUAUUUUGACCGUGCGAAGGUAGCGCAAUCACUUGUCUUUUAAAUGAAGACCCGUAUGAAUGGCAUAACGAGGGCUUAACUGUCUCCUCUUUCUAGUCAAUGAAAUUGAUCUCCCCGUGCAGAAGCGGGGAUAUAAACAUAAGACGAGAAGACCCUAUGGAGCUUUAGACACCAAGGUAGCCCACGUUAAGCACCCUCAACAAAGGAUUAAACCACAGUGAGCCCUGCCCUACUGUCUUUGGUUGGGGCGACCGCGGGGAAUUAAAAAACCCCCACGUGGAACGGGAAUACUUCUCCCAAAGCUAAGAGCCACAGCUCUAGUAAACAGAACUUCUGACCAACAAGAUCCGGCAAUGCCGAUCAACGGACCGAGUUACCCUAGGGAUAACAGCGCAAUCCUCUUUUAGAGCCCAUAUCGACAAGGGGGUUUACGACCUCGAUGUUGGAUCAGGACAUCCUAAU